CUUCUGUCUAAUUCAAAGAAUAUUAAGGAAUCAUAUUUGACUUAUAGAUCCAAUAAAAGCCCUUUGGGAAAACUGGCCUCAUACCUACUCUACACAGUUCCUGUACAGGAUUCCUGACCUGUGGCCAUCAAGCACCAGAUAAUCCUCAGUGAGUGAUACAUCCCCUUAAUAUUCAAGAGCCACCCUUCUGUAGGGGGCCGAUAGAAUGCCCCAUCAGUGGGACAAGACAGAGGUGAAAUCCUGCCCCUCUCUCCCUUGGACCUGGCUAGAUACUGCUUUUACCAUCCCAUGGAGUCACACUGCCCUGACAGAAAAAGAGGCCUGCAGCAAUCCUGGAGAGGCUGUCACUCUAAUGUUUAUGGAAAAGUCAGUAGAAGCAGCCUCCAGACCUCAGCUUCUUCAGGAUUUGCCUUAGUUGCCCAAAGCUGUUUCACUCCAAGUCACAACAUUCCUUUGGAAGCCCACAACUGAUGACUGAGGGUUAGAUAUCUAAGGCCUGUCCAUUUUAGCCUGACAUCAAAUACCCUGACAGGUAGUAUUCCCUUUAGAGGUGUUCACCAGGUUGGCCAAGACUUUGUUAGGUCUGCAUUGCAGUUAAACUUCUUCCCCUGUUCACUUCUACUUGCUAUAUCUUUCACAGACUCAUGGAUUUUUGUAGUGUAUUUUUAAUCAAAUUAUUUUGUAGAAAGGGACUCUGAAAAAAAAUAAAAACUUUUGUUUGUGGCCCUGUGUAUGUACCCUAGAGGCAGUCACUACGGGACAUAACCUGUGCAGUCCAUUUCUUGGAUAGUCGUCUUACUCUAUACUCAAUUCUGCUGGAGAACACUGGCCUCUGAUUCCUUCUCUCAUACCAAUGACCCCUCACUGCUCGCUUAGUGUGCCAAUAAUAUUCACUAUUAAUUUCUAGAAAUGAAAGGCUUUAUAUAACAAAAUAUAACAAGCUGAUCUUGACUGUAACUAGUUUUGACAAUUGAUACAUUUCUUUUGUGUACUCAGAGAGAUGCUGUUCACCUCUUUUUUGUUUCCUGAGACAACUUAUAUUACUUUCUUGGCAAGCAUUUAGAACACCUGCACAUAAACCACAGGUGAAAUACAGAAUAGAGCCCUCUAUAUUAAUUUUCUUGGUAGCAAUUAGUUGUACUGGUGUUUGUUCUCAGAAAGCUUCUGAACUACUGCUCAAAGCCAGCUCAAUUUUGAUGAAGGAGACUGAUUUCUUAGCAAUAUUUUCAAUCUUUGUACCCCAUGCUGAUAGCAGCUGGAUCAGAAAUACACUCAGCAUUGCUUUCGUGCUUGACAGUUAUAGUUGUGACCAUGUUAAUUACCAUCCUGUCUAACAGCACAAUGGGGACACUGUAUAGCUCUGAGAGUGAUUAUAGUCUUGCCUUCUGCAGAAAGACUUUCUUGGAAAUCAUGAGUAAUUUGUAAUUAAAGAAGACGUUCCAAUCAUCCUUGGUAAAUAUAUCUUUUUUCUAGAAUAAAAUUGUUUCACUUUCAUUUUGGUUAGGUAUUUUGCAAGUUAGGUAUAUCUGGGAAUGGGAUCCCAAGGGUCUCUUGUUCUGUAGUCUGUGACAGUUAAACAUGAGAAAAUGCCUUAUUAUAAAAUGUGCCUUGUUUUAUAAUAAAAAUGUAAAAUUAAUUUGUUUUACAUUUAAAUAAAGAUUAUUUUAUAUAUGUAAAAGUUUUAUAAUAAGGCACAAUGUGCAU
This 1704-nucleotide long non-coding RNA is filed under the name Homo sapiens (human). RNAcentral's name for it is "HSALNT0071840". Lineage: Eukaryota; Metazoa; Chordata; Mammalia; Primates; Hominidae. The record is from RNAcentral.